GAUAAACGCUGGCGGCGCACAUAAGACAUGCAAGUUGAACGGACUUAAUCGAAAUAUUUAUAUUUUGAAGCGGUUAGUGGCGGACUGGUGAGUAACGCGUAAGGAACCUGCCUAUUAGAGGGGAAUAACAGUGAGAAAUCAUUGCUAAUACCGCAUAUGCCAUAGAUAUCACAUGAUAACAGUGGGAAAGGAGCAAUCCGCUAAUAGAUGGCCUUGCGUCUGAUUAGAUAGUUGGUGGGGUAACGGCCUACCAAGUCGACGAUCAGUAGCCGGACUGAGAGGUUGAACGGCCACAUUGGGACUGAGAUACGGCCCAGACUCCUACGGGAGGCAGCAGUCGGGAAUAUUGCGCAAUGGAGGAAACUCUGACGCAGUGACGCCGCGUAUAGGAAGAAGGUUUUCGGAUUGGAAACUAUUGUCGUUAGGGAAGAGAAAGGACAGUACCUAAGGAGGAAGCUCCGGCUAACUACGUG
Molecule: ribosomal RNA, 473 nt
Filed under: uncultured bacterium
Lineage: Bacteria
Description: partial 16S ribosomal RNA
Rfam family: Bacterial small subunit ribosomal RNA
Source: RNAcentral